This 712-nucleotide long non-coding RNA is filed under the name Marmota monax (woodchuck). Lineage: Eukaryota; Metazoa; Chordata; Mammalia; Rodentia; Sciuridae. The record is from RNAcentral.
GCAUGAUCCCUGCCCUCUGUAUGCCUUGUCCAGUCACCUGCCAUCUACCACUGUGCAUCUCUGGACUGCUCUGAUGCUGAAUGCCCUUAACUGUCCAUACCCACCUGAUAGAGAACAAGAACUUUUGUGUACUUCCCCCAACUUCGCCCCCUUUCAGCAGAAGCAGUUUGGAGAUAUUGUCACCCAUUUUUCCAUAGAAAUGGAAUGUAGAAAUAGACAGUGGGAUAAUGUAAAAGUGGUCUACUUUAUACUUUGAAUAUAGCCCUUGCAGCUCUGCCACUGCAACUUAUUAUUAUCAUUAUUAUUUGUGUGGUGCUGGGGAUUAAACCCAGGGCCUUGUACAUUCGAGGCAAGCACUCUACCAACUGAGCUAUAUCCCCAGCCCUACACUGCAACUUAUUUUUAAAAUGGACAGGUUUCUUUCUCUUCCUGUCUCCCUGUUCUCUCCUAAUCUCUCCCCCUCACUAAUCUCAGAGGAAACAGGAUUGCCUUUCUUCUGCAUCAUUGGCAGAUUUUUCUCUCCUUGAGUACAUACCCACCAUAGGAAUGAAGUAAUCCAGACUUUGGGGAUGGUACCAGAAGAUCACAGAAAUGACUCUCUCUCAAAUUAGCAAGAGAAUUACAACUCCAACAGAGAACAUGUGGAAUAUAGUCUUUGAGUCACCUCUUUAAAAGCCCCCUGUUUCUGCUGAUGGAAAGAAACACAGCCUUU